AGGUCGGCUAGCCUUCUUCCCGGCGGGAGAGCCCAGCAGGAGGCAAGGCACUCCGGGAAGGAAGGAAGGAAGGACCCAGCAGCAAGCGCUGCUGCCGCCACCACCAGGUGCAGCCGACAGCUCCGCCUCCUCCCUGAUUUCACAGCGCCUCGCCGCGGUCUUCCCACCCCGCGCAGCGAAGCAGCGGCUCUUGCCGCUGCUCUCUCUCAGGAACCCAUUCUUCGCUGUCAGUCAGAGGCACGCUGAACCGCAACCUGUUUACAAUGACAAGGUUCCGCUUUGGCCCGUGGGAACGAAAUCUUCCUCAAGAGUGCCCGAGAACAUGUGCAGAGUGCCCUUCCGCCUUCCCGUUGUGUAACCAAGUCCAUGGCCCGCCCAUUUUCCUAGGUGUGAAAUUACGAGCUCAGGGUUCCCAGGGCAAGUGGCAUAAAGUCCCAGAACUGGGGAUUUGCCACCUUCCAGGCAGGACACUAGCCAUGCCAACAGUUCAAGAGGUCAGGUCCUGUCCGUUGGCGCAUGCUCAGUACACAACCCAGUGUUAAGGAUGGCCUCCUCAACUAUGAAAAAGAACCCUUCAUGAUUAUGAGCCCCUUUGGAAUGUGGAACCAUCUUCUCAUUAUUUUUGGAAUGUCACCACUUUGAGAACUUUGGUUAAGUGAUCUGUAAAUUAUCAUAAAUAAUAAUAAAAAUAAAUAAUAAUAAUUUACAACACA
Molecule: long non-coding RNA, 713 nt
Organism: Hemicordylus capensis (graceful crag lizard)
Lineage: Eukaryota; Metazoa; Chordata; Lepidosauria; Squamata; Cordylidae
Exons: 3
Source: RefSeq, a predicted model, not a curated record